GGGGAUGUAGCUCAGCAGUAUAGGCGCCUGCCUGGCAAGCACAAGAUUGUGAGUUCAAUCCCCAGUAUCCCCC
RNAcentral lists this transfer RNA (73 nucleotides) under Cavia porcellus (domestic guinea pig). It matches the Rfam family "tRNA". Rfam says of the family: Transfer RNA (tRNA) molecules are approximately 80 nucleotides in length. Their secondary structure includes four short double-helical elements and three loops (D, anti-codon, and T loops). Further hydrogen bonds mediate the characteristic L-shaped molecular structure. tRNAs have two regions of fundamental functional importance: the anti-codon, which is responsible for specific mRNA codon recognition, and the 3' end, to which the tRNAs corresponding amino acid is attached (by aminoacyl-tRNA synthetases). tRNAs cope with the degeneracy of the genetic code in two manners: having more than one tRNA (with a specific anti-codon) for a particular amino acid; and 'wobble' base-pairing, i.e. permitting non-standard base-pairing at the 3rd anti-codon position. Lineage: Eukaryota; Metazoa; Chordata; Mammalia; Rodentia; Caviidae. The record is from Rfam by way of RNAcentral.